UCGAGAAUCAUUCGCAAUGGGCGAAAGCCUGACGGUGCGACGUCGCGUGGAGGAUGAAGGUCUUCGGAUUGUAAACUCCUGUCAUGAGGGAUAAAUGGCCAGGGCACGAAUACUGCCUUGGAAUGAUAGUACCUCAGGAGGAAGAGACGGCUAACUCUGUGCCAGCAGCCGCGGUAAUACAGAGGUCUCGAGCGUUAUCCGGAUUUACUGGGCGUAAAGCGUGUGUAGGCGGUUUGAUAAGUUGGAUGUAAAAGCUCCCGGCUUAACUUGGAGAGGUCGUUCAAGACUGUAGAGCUAGAGUAAGGCAGAGGUAGAUGGAACUCCGGGAGUAGUGGUGAAAUGCGUAGAUAUCCGGAAGAACACCAGUGGCGAAAGCGGCCUCCUGGACCAUUCCUGACACUCAGACGCGAAAGCUAGGGUAGCAAACG
This 428-nucleotide ribosomal RNA is filed under the name uncultured prokaryote. Its description in RNAcentral is "bacterial SSU rRNA". It matches the Rfam family "Bacterial small subunit ribosomal RNA", at positions 355 to 774 of the family's 1533-position model. The record is from RNAcentral.